UACAGAGGGUGCGAGCGUUGUUCGGAAUUAUUGGGCGUAAAGGGCGCGUAGGCGGUGCGGUAAGUCACCUGUGAAAUCUCCUGGCUCAACUGGGAGCUUGCAGGCGAAACUGCCGUGCUGGAGUGUGGGAGAGGUGCGUGGAAUUCCCGGUGUAGCGGUGAAAUGCGCAGAUAUCAGGAGGAACACCAGUGGCGAAGGCGGUGCUCUGGGCCGGAACUGACGCUGAGGAGCGAAAGCGUGGGGAGCAAACAGG
RNAcentral lists this ribosomal RNA (253 nucleotides) under uncultured bacterium. RNAcentral describes it as "partial 16S ribosomal RNA". It matches the Rfam family "Bacterial small subunit ribosomal RNA", at positions 524 to 776 of the family's 1533-position model. The record is from RNAcentral.